This 429-nucleotide ribosomal RNA is filed under the name Bacteroidota bacterium. RNAcentral describes it as "Bacteroidetes bacterium partial 16S ribosomal RNA". It matches the Rfam family "Bacterial small subunit ribosomal RNA", at positions 355 to 776 of the family's 1533-position model. The record is from RNAcentral. Lineage: Bacteria; Pseudomonadati; Bacteroidota.
UAGGGAAUCUUCGGCAAUGGGGGGAACCCUGACCGAGCAACGCCGCGUGAGUGAAGAAGGUUUUCGGAUCGUAAAGCUCUGUUGUUAAGGAAGAACGAGUGUGAGAAUGGAAAGUUCAUGCUGUGACGGUACUUAACCAGAAAGGGACGGCUAACUACGUGCCAGCAGCCGCGGUAAUACGUAGGUCCCGAGCGUUGUCCGGAUUUAUUGGGCGUAAAGCGAGCGCAGGCGGUUAGAAAAGUCUGAAGUGAAAGGCAGUGGCUCAACCAUUGUAGGCUUUGGAAACUGUUUAACUUGAGUGCAGAAGGAGAGAGUGGGAGUCCAUGUGUAGCGGUGAAAUGCGUAGAUAUAUGGAGGAACACCGGUGGCGAAAGCGGCUCUCUAGUCUGUAACUGACACAGAGGCUAGAAAGCGUGGGGAGCGAACAGG